This is a long non-coding RNA of Sphaeramia orbicularis (orbiculate cardinalfish), 922 nucleotides long. RefSeq lists it as uncharacterized. The transcript is spliced from 3 exons. The record is from RefSeq and is a predicted model, not a curated record. NCBI's taxonomy places the organism in Eukaryota, Metazoa, Chordata, Actinopteri, Kurtiformes, Apogonidae.
CAUCUAUCCAUGAGAUGAAAAGCCAUGGGGUUGGUCUGGGCCGCACAGCUCUGCUAAGAUGUGAGGCAGCUGCUGUGCCUUCUCCGACUUUUGAGUGGUACAAGGGGGAGAAACGGAUUAUCAAGGGUCAGGGCAUCGACAUCAAGAGCCUCAGCUCAAGAUCAGUCCUCACAGUGAACAACAUGACAGAGGAUCGUUACGGGAACUACCAUGUGUCGCCUCCAACAAGCUAGGGACAGCCAACGCCAGUGUGCCUCUCAUCCCGCCCAACACUGCACCCUAUGGGAGCACAGGGAGCGCCCCCGUCCCGCUGGCCUGCCAGUACCUGGUCCUGGCGCUCUCCUCCUUCAUCAGCGUGUACUAACAGUAGACAUCCCGGACACAAUGACUGUCAAGAGCAUUUAUGAAUCCUUUUUUGACAUUGCUGAUGGCUGGAGUCCAAUCUGGUACAGUUUGUUGAAAAGCCGUGAUGGGGAAAAUGAUCAGCAUUACUUUGUGUGGGGAUUUGUUUUUGUUCUUUUUUUUGUUUUGUUUUUUUGCGUUUUGGUGAAAUUUCUGUUAUGUAAAUACUAUGAUGUUUUUUUUAUGUUCUUUCUUUCUUCUCUCAAGGUUUUCUUUGUUUUUCUGAUUGAUUGAUUGACCACCUUGUGAAUCAGUUCGCACCCCCACCUCUAAUCAUAUCUGAAAAACCCUGAAAACUCCAAAACAAUUUACUUUUAUGCCUCUUUCUCUGGGAGGUACUGGCGCAAAAUUGACAUUUUCAUCCGUUUUUGUACAUGGUUAAAAAAGAAGCAAUUGUGCCAAGUCUCUCAGUACACACAAUUACCAUACCAAUGUUGUAUUGAAUGUAUUAUGGGUUGUUGAACAAAGGAAAUACAUUUAGAUUCCUAACAAUACAAAUUUUGAUUAUGGAGUGUGCGUU